RNAcentral lists this transfer RNA (75 nucleotides) under Bacteroidetes bacterium OLB9. RNAcentral describes it as "tRNA-Met". It matches the Rfam family "tRNA". Rfam says of the family: Transfer RNA (tRNA) molecules are approximately 80 nucleotides in length. Their secondary structure includes four short double-helical elements and three loops (D, anti-codon, and T loops). Lineage: Bacteria; Pseudomonadati; Bacteroidota. The record is from RNAcentral.
GGGCCUAUAGCUCAGUCGGUUAGAGCACCUGACUCAUAAUCAGGUGGUCCCAGGUUCAAGUCCUGGUGGGCCCAC